This is a long non-coding RNA of Carassius gibelio (silver crucian carp), 674 nucleotides long. RefSeq lists it as uncharacterized. The transcript is spliced from 5 exons. NCBI's taxonomy places the organism in Eukaryota, Metazoa, Chordata, Actinopteri, Cypriniformes, Cyprinidae. The record is from RefSeq and is a predicted model, not a curated record.
AAAAAAGUGCAACAGCCCUGUCAUUACUCUAAAGCACAUUUUAUACUUAAUCUGACUUAAAUUAUUUAAUUUUCUGUCUUGUUCUUGAGCUUAAGUAAAUUAUUUACUUUAAUUUAAAGUAAAUCUAAGUUUUGUUGGUUUAAUUUAAACUAUUUGCUACACAUCAAAUCAAUAAUUUUGCGUUCUGUGUAAACCACGUGACCACUGACGUAAUCGUGGUUGGGUUUGAGAAUUUUACGAUCGACGGCCAUCUUGUUUCCCCUCACAUCCAGACUGCGGCUGACAGCAGUUCCACAAUAUCGGACGGGGUACUGCUGAACAACAAUUAGGACAGGUUUUGAAUAAUCCAGCCACAUGAAAAACAAGUCUAUUUUCUGUUUCUCUUUCUUACAGAUUAAUGCAGAAUUUUUUCGCAACACGACCUUACCUCUACAAUCAAGAUUUAUGGCCUCUUUGGACAGACAGACAGCUCUCAGCUUCUCCAGGUUAUUAGGAGCAAAGGUGGAGCCCUCCGUGAGAAAACUAAGGACACUAUUAAAGUUAUGGAUCAGAGUUUGGACAUAGACAUCAGAAGAGAGUGCCUGCUGAAGUGCCUGAUCACAUACCUUGGUGAAGAUGCAAGCUGUCUGAUCAAAGAAUACCAGGCUGACCAGAGGGAGGAAGCAGAGAGAGAA